UGAGGAAUAUUGGGCAAUGGACGAAAGUCUGACCCAGCCAUGCCGCGUGCAGGAUGACUGCCCUAUGGGUUGUAAACUGCUUUUAUAUAGGAAGAAACUUUUCUACGUGUAGAAAACUGACGGUACUAUUUGAAUAAGGACCGGCUAACUCCGUGCCAGCAGCCGCGGUAAUACGGAGGGUCCAAGCGUUAUCCGGAUUCAUUGGGUUUAAAGGGUCCGUAGGCGGGCUUUUAAGUCAGAGGUGAAGGCCUACAGCUUAACUGUAGAACUGCCUUUGAUACUGGAAGUCUUGAGUAUAGUUGAAGUGGGCGGAAUACGUCAUGUAGCGGUGAAAUGCAUAGAUAUGACGU
Molecule: ribosomal RNA, 350 nt
Filed under: uncultured bacterium
Lineage: Bacteria
Description: bacterial SSU rRNA
Rfam family: Bacterial small subunit ribosomal RNA
Source: RNAcentral